CCAAUAGCGUAUAUUAAAGUUGUUGCAGUUAAAAAGCUCGUAGUUGAAUUUCGGGAUUGACGUGAUGGUCAUGCCUUAAGGGGUAUGAACUGUUACAGUUGAUUUCUCACCUUCUGGAGAAACUUGAUGUCCUUUAUUGGGUGUCUUGCGGAUCCAGGACCUUUACCUUGAAAAAAUUAGAGUGUUUAAAGCAGGCAUUUUUGCUCGAAUACAUUAGCAUGGAAUAAUAGAAUAGGACGGCAUGGUUCUAUUUUGUUGGUUUCUAGGAUCACCGUAAUGAUUAAUAGGGAUAGUUGGGGGCAUUAGUAUUCAAUUGUCAGAGGUGAAAUUCUUGGAUUUAUUGAAGACUAACUACUGCGAAAGCAUUUGCCAAGGAUGUUUUCAUUAAUCAAGAACGAAAGUUAGGGGAUCGAAGACGAUCAGAUACCAUCGUAGUCUUAACCAUAAACUAUGCCGACUAGGAAUCAGACGAUGUUAAUUUUUUAAUGACUCGUUUGGCACCUUACGGGAAACCAAAGUGUUGGUUC
This 527-nucleotide unclassified non-coding RNA is filed under the name uncultured Glomeromycotina. Its description in RNAcentral is "SSU rRNA". It matches the Rfam family "Eukaryotic small subunit ribosomal RNA", at positions 591 to 1114 of the family's 1831-position model. Lineage: Eukaryota; Fungi; Glomeromycota. The record is from RNAcentral.